Molecule: ribosomal RNA, 293 nt
Filed under: uncultured microorganism
Description: partial 16S ribosomal RNA
Rfam family: Bacterial small subunit ribosomal RNA
Source: RNAcentral
GUGCCAGCAGCCGCGGUAAUACGUAGGGUGCAAGCGUUGUCCGGAAUUAUUGGGCGUAAAGAGCUCGUAGGCGGUUUGUCGCGUCUGCUGUGAAAUCCCGAGGCUCAACCUCGGGCUUGCAGUGGGUACGGGCAGACUAGAGUGCGGAUAGGGGAGAUUGGAAUUCCUGGUGUAGCGGUGGAAUGCGCAGAUAUCAGGAGGAACACCGAUGGCGAAGGCAGAUCUCUGGGCCGUAACUGACGCUGAGGAGCGAAAGCGUGGGGAGCGAACAGGAUUAGAUACCCUGGUAGUCC